CUGAUGCAUACCGAUAAAUUGGGAAAGAAAUCGAACUAAGCCUAAAGAGAAAAUUAACUAAUUGUUCUUGAACAGCUGGUUCUGUAGAACAGAGGAAUUGAGAAGAGAAAGAGAGAGAACUGUUUAUUGAUCUUUUACAAUUCGAUACCUUUACAAUUGGGGUUGAUCUCCUAUUUAUACACGUGAAUUAAAAGCAGACUCCCAUAGUUAGUUAUAACUAACUUGGCUACAGUGUUAACCGACUAACAACUAGCACGUGCGACUCACAUG
This 270-nucleotide long non-coding RNA is filed under the name Solanum tuberosum (potato). RNAcentral's name for it is "long non-coding RNA (STUB_LNC009712)". Lineage: Eukaryota; Viridiplantae; Streptophyta; Magnoliopsida; Solanales; Solanaceae. The record is from RNAcentral.